This 139-nucleotide small nuclear RNA is filed under the name Pogona vitticeps (central bearded dragon). RNAcentral's name for it is "U1 spliceosomal RNA (ENSPVIG00000025248.1)". It matches the Rfam family "U1 spliceosomal RNA". Rfam says of the family: U1 is a small nuclear RNA (snRNA) component of the spliceosome (involved in pre-mRNA splicing). Its 5' end forms complementary base pairs with the 5' splice junction, thus defining the 5' donor site of an intron. Lineage: Eukaryota; Metazoa; Chordata; Lepidosauria; Squamata; Agamidae. The record is from Rfam by way of RNAcentral.
CCCCUUACCUGGCAGGGGAGAUACCAUAAUCAUGAAGGUGAUUUUUUUCCAGGGUACGACUCAUCCAUCGCACUGCAGGUGUGCUGUUCCCUGCGAUUUUCCCAUAUGUGGGAAACUUGACUGCAUAAUUUGUGGCCAC